This 452-nucleotide ribosomal RNA is filed under the name uncultured bacterium. Its description in RNAcentral is "partial 16S ribosomal RNA". It matches the Rfam family "Bacterial small subunit ribosomal RNA", at positions 28 to 507 of the family's 1533-position model. The record is from RNAcentral.
GAUGAACGCUGGCGGCGUGCCUAACACAUGCAAGUCGAGCGAUUCUCUUCGGAGAAGAGCGGCGGACGGGUGCGUAACGCGUGGGUAACCUGCCCUGUACACACGGAUAACAUACCGAAAGGUAUGCUAAUACGAGAUAAUAUGCUUUUAUCGCAUGGUAGAAGUAUCAAAGCUUUUGCGGUACAGGAUGGACCCGCGUCUGAUUAGCUAGUUGGUAAGGUAACGGCUUACCAAGGCGACGAUCAGUAGCCGACCUGAGAGGGUGAUCGGCCACAUUGGAACUGAGACACGGUCCAAACUCCUACGGGAGGCAGCAGUGGGGAAUAUUGCACAAUGGGCGAAAGCCUGAUGCAGCAACGCCGCGUGAGCGAUGAAGGCCUUCGGGUCGUAAAGUUCUGUCCUCAAGGAAGAUAAUGACGGUACUUGAGGAGGAAGCCCCGGCUAACUACGUG